UACGGAGGGUGCAAGCGUUAUCCGGAUUUACUGGGUUUAAAGGGUGCGUAGGUGGGUAGGUAAGUCAGUGGUGAAAUCUUCGAGCUUAACUCGGAAACUGCCAUUGAUACUAUUUAUCUUGAAUACUCUGGAGGUAAGCGGAAUAUGUUAUGUAGCGGUGAAAUGCUUAGAUAUGACAUAGAACACCAAUUGCGAAGGCAGCUUACUACAUAGUUAUUGACACUGAGGCACGAAAGCGUGGGGAUCAAACAGG
This 253-nucleotide ribosomal RNA is filed under the name uncultured bacterium. RNAcentral's name for it is "partial 16S ribosomal RNA". It matches the Rfam family "Bacterial small subunit ribosomal RNA", at positions 524 to 776 of the family's 1533-position model. The record is from RNAcentral.